This is an RNA transcript of Xyrauchen texanus (razorback sucker), 6526 nucleotides long. It is a transcript of the gene named telomerase reverse transcriptase, with no coding region annotated. Lineage: Eukaryota; Metazoa; Chordata; Actinopteri; Cypriniformes; Catostomidae. The transcript has 20 exons. The record is from RefSeq and is a predicted model, not a curated record.
CACAACACGAGUGUGUUUGAACAUGACAGACAGCCGGUUACAACAUGUGCUCGACAUUCUGCGCUCGUUAUAUCCGUCAGUUCAGACUCUGGAGGAGUUCACACACGGGCUCGUGUUCGGUGACGGACAGAAGCCGCGUUUACUGGACGAGUCUGACGGCGCGCGCUUAAAAUCACUCAUCAGGGGACUGAUGAUAUGCGCGCUCACGCCGCUUCAGCAGCUGCGCGCUCCCGCACAGCUCAGCACCCUGCCUGAAGUUUUGGCGUUCACACUGAACCACAUCAAACGUAAGAAACUGCGUAAUGUCCUGGGAUUCAGCUAUCAGUGCAGCGACGUCCUGGCGUGCACGGAUCCCUUCAGAUUCCACGGAGACAUCUCUCAGAGCGCUGCUUACAUCAGCACCAGCGAGCUGUGGAAGAGAAUCAACCAGAGACUCGGGACGGAGAUCACCAGAUACCUGCUGCAGGACUGUGCCAUCUUCGUCACCAUCCCACCCUCGUGUGUACUGCAGGUGUGCGGCGAGCCCCUGUACGACCUCCUGCUCCCGCGGACUUGCUCUGGAUUCUUCCUGAGACACGCCUCGCCUCAAGUGUCCUACAACUUGGCACGUAAAAAUCCCUUCAGGACAUGGAAUAUUAGAAGUAAUAGGAAUAUAGUCUUGGAAAAGACUAAAAAGAGAGAUCGGAAGGAGGAUGCGGAAGAUAAACGUCAAGAUUGCCCUGCAACAAAACGACAAAGGGUGAUUAUGGAAACUGGGAAUGGCGUCGACACCCUCAAGAAAGAUUUAGGACCACGGACGGACACCGAUCGCCCUUCGACCACCCGUCCUCAAAGCCACGGAGUAAAGAGCUGGAAGCCAGCGGAUCAGUGCCCGCCUCGCCCAUCGCACUGCUCCAUCCGUGUACUGGGCAUGCUCUACAACGGGCGUGGCAUGAAGGGCUUCCUACUCAACAGGAAGUUGAAAGCAGGCAUGGGCGCCGUUUGGCGCUUGCAGGGUGAGGAUCUUGUCAGAUUAGUAUUCCUUCAAGGACAGUCGAAUGUGUCCGACGGAAAGUCCAAAAUUAAAAAACUUCCCAAACGUUUCUUCAACACUGUACCGCUGUUCAGUCGACUCCUACGGCAGCACAGGAAGUGCCCGUACACCCUCUUCCUGCAGAGGAAGUGCUCCGGGAACACGGGGGAACAGGAUAUGGAGGCUUUGCUGGGCUCACACUACUCCCCCUACAGGGUGUAUCUGUUUGUAAGGGAAUGUUUGCGAUACGUUAUUCCAGAGGAACUCUGGGGCUCCCGGGAAAACCAGCUCCACUUCCUGUCUAAUGUGAAGAACUUCCUGCGACUUGGAAAAUUUGAGCGUUUCUCAUUGGUCCAGCUUAUGUGGAGGAUGAAGGUUACGGACUGCCAUUGGCUGGGACCCAACAAACGUCAGUGUGCCAGUGAGCACCGGUACAGGGAGUGGAUCUUCAGUCAGUUUCUUCUCUGGCUGUUGAAUGAGUACGUUAUCGGCCUGGUGAAAGCGCUGUUCUACGUCACUGAGAGUAUGGGCCAGAAACACACGCUGCGCUUCUACAGGACAGAAGUGUGGAGCAAACUAUACGAGCGGGCGUUCAGAGUUCAUCUGUCUAAGGGCCAUUGGAGGGCGCUGUCUCCUUCUGAAGUGAUCAAAUUCCCAAAAACCACCAUAACAUCCCGGAUUCGGUUCAUCCCAAAGACCAACAGCAUGAGACCCAUCACACGACUCUCUGGAACCAGAGAAGCACUGCAGCAUUUCCAGAGCUGCGUGCGAGUGUUGCAGAACGUGCUGAGCGCGUGUGUGCGGGAGGCCCCGGGGCAGAUGGGCUCGACGGUUUGGGGUUGGCAAGACAUCCAAAGAGUUCUCACAGAGUUCACGCCGCAGCAGAAAUGCUCACCGCGACCACUGUACUUCGUUAAGGUGGACGUGAGUGGGGCGUAUGACAGUCUUCCUCACGCCAAGCUGGUGGAGGUGUUGGAUGAGGUGUUGAGUCCGUUCAAGCAGCGGAGUUUCUUUCUGCGGCAGUACGCGCGCGUGUGGAACGACCCCAACCAGGGUCUGAGGAGACAGUUCUGCACUAAAGCAGAGAUGUGUGAACCUCUGAACAUGAAGGGGUUUGUUCUGGAUGAGCAGGCCAACGGAGCCUUACACGAUGCCAUCUUAGUGGAGCGGCACUCUUCUGAGGUCAGAGGUCAAGAUGUGUUUCAGUUCUUCAAGAAGAUGUUGAGCAGCUUCAUCAUCCAGCAUGAGAAGAAAAUGUUCCGGCAGGUGUGUGGGAUUCCUCAGGGAUCUUCCGUGUCGGCUCUGUUAUGUAACCUGUGUUAUGGACACAUGGAGAACUCGUUACUGAAAGACGUCACAAAGGGCGGGUGUCUGAUGAGGCUGGUUGAUGAUUUUUUGCUCAUUACGCCUCAUCUGAGUAAGGCCACAGAGUUCCUGACGAUGUUGUUGUCUGGCGUGCCUGAAUACGGUUGUAAAAUAAACCCACAGAAAGUGGCGGUGAAUUUCCCAGUGUGUGACGAGUGGCUGAAUUGUGGUGUGACGGUGUUUCCAUCAUGUUGCCUGUUCCCGUGGUGCGGUCUGAUGCUCGACACACACAUGCUGGAUGUCUAUAAGGAUUACUCACGCUAUGAUGGCCUAUCACUGCGCUACAGCCUGACGAUAGGCUCCGCCCACUCACCAGCCAUGGUCAUGAAGAAGCUGCUGUCAAUCAUCAGACUCAAGUGUACUGGAAUCUUUGUGGACCUCAGGAUGAAUUCUGUGGAAGCCGUUUACAAAAGCUUGUACAAACUCAUUCUGUUGCAGGCUCUCAGGUUUCAUGCGUGUGUGAAGAGUUUGCCCCUGGGCCAGAAUGUUGGGGCCAAUCCGUCGUUCUAUCUGAAGAUGAUCUGGACUAUGGCUCGAGUUACUAAUAAACUCGUAAGACACACAAAUACAGGUCUGGUUCUGGGCUAUGCGGAUGGUGGAGGUGUUCUGCAGUACGAGGCGGUGCAGUUGUUGUUCUGUCUGGCGUUUCAGGUUGUUUUCACGCGUUUCCGCCCCUUUUACCGCAGCCUCCUGGUGCGACUGCACAAACGAAAGAGGCGUCUACAGUACGUGCUCCAUGGCAUCAGAUUGGCACGAGUGCGUCAGGCGGCCACACCCAGAAUCCCUAACGACUUUAAAACCAUCAGGACGUAAACACAUAAACCUGCAUAAAGAAACGGCCCUCUAUUAUCAGCUCGCGUUUACUGCGGUCAUGCGCUGCCUCUGUAAAUGCCAGCAUGUUUACAGGUGCAUCAGCAGGAAGUGUUUUCUUCCACACUGACUCAUACAGCAGCUGAUUAAACAGAUGUGACUUCUAUCGUAAAUUGUUGAUGGAUUGUCGUUAAACUGAGAAAGCAGCGAUAAGAGAGUCUCGUAAACAAAACUUGUAAUGGUAGAGAAGUAGUGCUGUCGAAGUGAAUGGAAGAUGACAGGCCAUUAAGCAGGUUUUAUUCAACUCUGUCUUUUGGUAGAUUGUUUGCUGUUGUUAUGGUGCAUGUUUAUAUGUUAUUUGCUUGUGUUGAUGCAUUUAUAAGCCUUCAUCUUUCAGGGUCCCCGCGGGUCCUUAAAAAGUCUUGAAACGGCUUAAAUAAAAUUUUUGAUUUUUAAGGUCUGAAAAUGUCUUGAAUUCUGGAAUUUUCCAUAAGGAGGUCUUAAAUUUCAUGUGGGAUCUUAAAUUUCAUGUCCGUCUCGUCAUUUUUAUUUAUUUUUUCAACCGCAAUUUGACCAGCGCAACAUUUGGGGGCAGCACUUCGUGGGUGCAACCUGCAUCAUUCCAUAGGUGACAUACGAGUAAGUGAUUGAUGAAUGCGUUCCGUUGAUGGUUCGCCACCACGGCAUUUUGCGAAAUCGCAAGCAUGGGCAAAUGUUUGUUUAAUGACAAUUGGUUGGAGGACGAAAAGUAUCCCUGAAGAAAACAGCCAGUAAUCAUGAAGCGAGGUGUGCUUUAUGUAAAAAGACGAUACAGCUGGGGUCAAUGGGCCACAUAGCGCUCGAUUCACACAUGAAAGCAUAGAAGUAUGUGUCGUCGCAGGCAAGUAGUUUGCCCAUAAUGUUCUCAUCGAGCACUUCGACCUCUCAGCCUUCCACAAGGCCGUCCACUUCAAGCAAUGUCUUCGGCAGCUUUGCGAAUGUAGCUACACUUAAAGCCGAAAUACUGUGGGUAUUUCAAACCGUAAGCCGCCACCACUCGUACAACUCAAAUGAGGACAUCCACCUAGUUUUUCAAGCAAUGUUCCCUGACUCAGAGUGUGCGAGUACGUUCACGUGUGGAAGGGACAAAACCGCAUAUUUAGCACGAUUUGGUGUUGCCCCAUACCUAAUGAAGGAACUAAUUUCACGGGCAAACAAGGACGCUUUCAUCAUAAUGUUCGAUGAGUCCAUGAACAAACAACGAAAACUAAACAGUUGGACUUGCACGUCAGACAUUGGCCAACCGACGAGACCGGCACCCCGAUUGUCAGGUCUCGCUAUCUUGGUUCUCAGUUUUUGGGCCACUCAACGGCAGAAGACUUGCUGGAGCAGUUUAAGGAGGGCACCAAGGAACUUAAUUUAAGGAACAUGCUUUCUGUGUCAAUGGAUGGACCUGCAGUAAAUUGGAAAUUCAUGGAUCUCCUACAACUGGAACAUGCUGAACAGUUUGGGAGGAUUCAACUCCAAGCGGUAGGAAGCUGUGGUAUCCACAGCCUACACAAUUCAUUUAAAGCUGGAUUUGAGGUGUGGCAUGUAGAAAAGGUGCUGAGAUCUCUCCACUAUCUCUUCAAUAAUGCCCCAGCAAGAAGAGAGGAUUUCACAUCUGCAACACUGUCAUCCACAUUCCCCUUAUCCUUCUGUGGCCAUCGUUGGCUUGAAAAUGUGCCUGCUGCAGAGAGGGCGAUUGAAAUUUGGCCCUCUAUUGAGAAGUUUGUUGACCAAGUGUCAACAAAGAAGGUGAAGAACCCAGGAAAUGCAUCAUUCGACACCCUCUCUGAGGCAAGAAAGGAUCCUCUUAUCUGUGCCAAACUCCACUUCUUUGUGUUCAUAGCAAGAGUCUUUCAACCAUUUCUGGAAAAAUAUCAAAAAGAUGCUCCCAUGAUGCCCUUCCUUUGGAAUGACUUGGAGGAUUUGAUAGGGAGCCUUCUCAAACGAUUCAUGAAGCGCGAUGCUUUGCCCUCGAGUCCAUAUAAGCUGGUGAGGCUCGAUGUCACAGCCCAGAAGCUUUGGCUUGGCACAAAAGAUGUUGACAUUGGCAUGAGUGCAGCAGCUGUUAUCAAGGGACUGUCAGGGGGCCAAGGGCAGGGUAAGCGAGCUUGGUGUGCUGCAGUUUAAAAAAGAAUGCCAGAAUGCGCUUUCAAAAAUAUGCAAGAAGGCACUGGAUAAGUGCCCUCUAAAAUAUGCCACUGUCCAUAACAUGAUGUGCCUGGACCCAAGAAAAAUGUAUUCCAGCCCAGACGAAUGCCAACAGAAACUGAAACGCGUCAUUGAGAAGUUUGUGCUGGACAAACAGUUGACAGGCGGGAUAUAUUCAGGUGAUGUGAUUUCUCAGCAGUUUGAGAAGGCCCUUUCCAAUGAGGCCAAAUCGCUGGAAUUUGCAAACUUCCAGCCCUCAGUGUCCAGGGUUGAUACAUUCCUGUCUCAGAAUCUCAGUUCCUACACUGAUCUGUGGAAGUUACUACUCCUCUCACAUGGACAAGCUGAAGUGGAGCGGGGCUUCUCCAUCAACAAAGAGGUGGAGACGUGCAACAUGUCUGAGGAGACAGUUGUUAUUCAAAGGCUCAUCUGUGAUCAAUUGAAUGUUUGUGGGGGGGGUGACACAAGUGCCUAUUACAAAAGAGAUAAUCAGUUACUGUGCCUCAGCACGGAGCCGUUACCGCGCACACUUGGAAGAGGAAAAAAAGAAGAGAGAGACAGAAGAAAACUCCAAGAAAAGAAAGUAUGUCGAAGAGGACCUGAAAGAGCUAAAGCAAAAGAAAAAAUCAAUUCGAGAAAUUUGCAUAUCUUUGGAGAAUGAUGCAGAUAGAAUGGCAGAGCAAGCCCAAAGUUCAGGUGGUAGUAAAAUGGCCAUAUUGAUCACAGAAUCCAAUUCUUUGAGGAGAAGAGCUAAAGAUAAACAUAAAGAACUAAUUGAGUUGGAUGCAGAAAUUGAAAACAAAACUGUAGAAUUGACAAAACUGUCAUGAGGGCUUUGAGUUUGAGAACUUAAAAGUUGAAGGUUUACAUGUACCGUUAGUGAUUUAUUUGUAUUAUUUGCUGAAUGUUACUGUCUGGGCCUAGAAAAUCAGUUCCUUUUAUGUUUGAUCAGCACUGUGGCUUUAUAGGGAAGUCCGAAGCUGUUUCUCUAUUUGUCAUCCCAUGUAAGCAUGACUGUUUUCAUGCUAUUCUGUUUGUAUACUGUUAUACAUGUAUAUCUUUGGAUUGCCAGAUUGGCAUUAAUCCCAUUGUUGACCAUAUUGGAAGUUUGAUGCACAGUACUGAAAGUAGUUGCUGAACAAAGCACUUUUAAAUAAAUUUCUG